GAACGCUGGCGGCGUGCUUAACACAUGCAAGUUGAGCGGAAAGGCCUCUUCGGGGGUACUCGAGCGGCGAACGGGUGAGUAACACGUGAGUAACCUGCCCCAGUCUUUGGGAUAACCCUCGGAAACGGGGGCUAAUACCGGGAUAUUCAGGUCUUGCCGCAUGGUGGGGUUUGGAAAGAUUUUUUGGUCUGGGUUGGGCUCGCGGCCUAUCAGCUUGUUGGUGGGGUGAUGGCCUACCAAGGCGACGACGGGUAGCCGGCCUGAGAGGGCGACCGGCCACACUGGGACUGAGACACGGCCCAGACUCCUACGGGAGGCAGCAGUGGGGAAUAUUGCACAAUGGGCGGAAGCCUGAUGCAGCGACGCCGCGUGAGGGAUGACGGCCUUCGGGUUGUAAACCUCUUUCAGCACCGACGAAGCGAGAGUGACGGUAGGUGCAGAAGAAGCGCCGGCCAACUACGUGCCAGCAGCCGCGGUAAGACGUAGGGCGCGAGCGUUGUCCGGAUUUAUUGGGCGUAAAGAGCUCGUAGGCGGUUUGUCGCGUCGUCCGUGAAAACUUGGGGCUCAACUCCAAGCUUGCGGUCGAUACGGGCAGGCUAGAGUUCGGUAGGGGAGACUGGAAUUCCUGGUGUAGCGGUGAAAUGCGCAGAUAUCAGGAGGAACACCGGUGGCGAAGGCGGGUCUCUGGGCCGAUACUGACGCUGAGGAGCGAAAGCGUGGGGAGCGAACAGGAUUAGAUACCCUGGUAGUCCACGCUGUAAACGUUGGGCGCUAGGUGUGGGGGGCCUCUCCGGUUCUCUGUGCCGCAGCUAACGCAUUAAGCGCCCCGCCUGGGGAGUACGGCCGCAAGGCUAAAACUCAAAGGAAUUGACGG
This 874-nucleotide ribosomal RNA is filed under the name uncultured Actinomycetales bacterium. RNAcentral describes it as "bacterial SSU rRNA". It matches the Rfam family "Bacterial small subunit ribosomal RNA", at positions 31 to 916 of the family's 1533-position model. The record is from RNAcentral. Lineage: Bacteria; Bacillati; Actinomycetota; Actinomycetes; Actinomycetales.